Molecule: long non-coding RNA, 156 nt
Organism: Diorhabda carinulata
Lineage: Eukaryota; Metazoa; Arthropoda; Insecta; Coleoptera; Chrysomelidae
Exons: 2
Source: RefSeq, a predicted model, not a curated record
ACGUUCGACCAUAACUCGAGGGAGUCUACCAGCUAAAACGGGAAGAAAUAUUACCAGCUGCGAGCUCGUGGAUGUUUUGUUUGUAGAUCAAAGGAUGACUCUUGUUGGCUUUAAAAACAAGACUCUGUGUUAUUAUGUACCAGAAAAGAAAUAAAA